GUGGGGAAUCUUCCACAAUGGACGAAAGUCUGAUGGAGCAACGCCGCGUGAGUGAAGAAGGGUUUCGGCUCGUAAAGCUCUGUGAUCGGGGACGAAUGGCUGGUGCGUUAAUACCGCAUCAGAGUGACGGUACCCGAAUAGCAAGCCACGGCUAACUACGUGCCAGCAGCCGCGGUAAUACGUAGGUGGCAAGCGUUGUCCGGAAUUAUUGGGCGUAAAGCGCGCGCAGGCGGCUUCUUAAGUCCAUCUUAAAAGUGCGGGGCUUAACCCCGUGAUGGGAUGGAAACUGGGAGGCUGGAGUAUCGGAGAGGAAAGUGGAAUUCCUAGUGUAGCGGUGAAAUGCGUAGAGAUUAGGAAGAACACCGGUGGCGAAGGCGACUUUCUGGACGACAACUGACGCUGAGGCGCGAAAGCGUGGGGAGCAAACAGGAUUAGAUACCCUAGUAGUCC
This 450-nucleotide ribosomal RNA is filed under the name uncultured bacterium. RNAcentral's name for it is "partial 16S ribosomal RNA". It matches the Rfam family "Bacterial small subunit ribosomal RNA", at positions 354 to 796 of the family's 1533-position model. The record is from RNAcentral.